UCCCUUGUAGCUCAGACGGUAAAGCGUCUGCCUCCAACGCGGGAGACCCGGGUUCGAUCCCUGGGUCGGGAA
Molecule: non-coding RNA, 72 nt
Organism: Bos taurus (domestic cattle)
Lineage: Eukaryota; Metazoa; Chordata; Mammalia; Artiodactyla; Bovidae
Source: Rfam